GCCGAAGUGGCGGAACUGGCAGACGCGCGGGUCUCAAAAACCCGUGAGGAUAAAACCUCGUGAGGGUUCAAGUCCCUCUUUCGGCACCA
RNAcentral lists this transfer RNA (89 nucleotides) under candidate division WWE3 bacterium CG08_land_8_20_14_0_20_40_13. RNAcentral describes it as "tRNA-Leu". It matches the Rfam family "tRNA". Rfam says of the family: Transfer RNA (tRNA) molecules are approximately 80 nucleotides in length. Lineage: Bacteria; candidate division WWE3. The record is from RNAcentral.